ACGAAUGACGGUUGCGGCCAGCCGCUCCGCCAGGUUCAUACCCCGGAGACGCUGGUUCGAGUCCGGCCGAUUUGUG
Molecule: transfer RNA, 76 nt
Filed under: Alcaligenaceae bacterium
Lineage: Bacteria; Pseudomonadati; Pseudomonadota; Betaproteobacteria; Burkholderiales; Alcaligenaceae
Description: tRNA-Met
Source: RNAcentral